AAUAAUAACAAAGUCAUAAUAUAACACAAUUAUAAAAAAUGAAUAAAAUAGUUAAUAAAAGGGUUAAAUUGAACUAAAAAAAAAGAAAAAAAAAGCCAAAUUCGAAGUAAAUUUGAGAACAGGACCACAUUGAAUGCGCGCACAAGGGUGGAGGACCAAAAAAGAAAUUAUCCCCUCCUUCUAAAAUGCUGCGCAUUGACACUGGCUAAAAUGAACAGAAAUAGAAACAUUUGGGCUAAAUUUAAAAAAACAAAAAUUGGUUUAAUAAAAGAGGGCGCAAAAGAGGGAGGACUAGCCGCGCAAUUUCCCCACUUAGGGUAGAAAUGCACAGACCCAACACCCGCCAUACGGCGCCGUUUCAUCUCAAAUAUAAAAUCAACAUUUUCUUAAAAAAACCCAUUCUCUGUCAUUUUACAGCAAAACAAAGAAACCUUGUAAACCCUAGCCUCUGCUAGGGCUUCAACUCAGCCGCCACCGUCGCCGUCCUCGGCCAAUCGGCCUCCGUCGACGCCCCGAUCUCAGAUCGAGACAGAGAGGGGCACCAACUCGGUGAUUCCGACGAAAAGGGUAGGUUUUCUCUUCCUUUCUUUAUAUUUUAAGCAAAAAUAAAUAAAUAAUGGCGAAACUAAAAAAAAACCAAAUAUAUAUAUGUACAAAUGAAAAAAAAUGAAAGAACGAUAAUCGAAAAAAUGGUAAAACAGAAAAGAAAACCUUUUUAUUUCAAAAAAGAAAAUUUCCUCUUUGCCUCUGUAUUUCUCGUAUUUUACACAGAAAUCCCCCCCAAAUACAGAUUAAAAUCGGCUUUUAAAUAGCCGAGAAAAGGAAAAGAAAAAAAAUCAAAAGAAAUCCCCUCUGUUUUUGUUAGCAAGAUUUUUGCCGUUCUGUUUGUGUUUGUUGCUGUGGGUUCAACGUGCAAGGAAGGCGCGAGAUUCGUGGCGGCGAGGGGCACGAUGUGCGAUAUCGACGGGCAUGACGCGCGGAAGCAGUUGCUGCGCUAGUUACUGCGGCGCUGAGGCAGAAGCUAGGGUUUCUGCUAUUCUAUUUUUUUUGUGGGCUAGGGUUAGUUUGGGUGUUUAAGGUUAUUGGACUAGGUUUAGCUUAUUUUUUGUUUUGUAAGGGCCCGGGUAAAUUGGGCUUAUUACAAGGGGCAACAGAGGGGAUUUGGGAUUUAUUUUAUUUUUUCUUUUCUUUUCAUUUUUCUGUAAUUUUGGCUAUAAAGAAGCCAAUACAAACACUGUAAAGGAUACGCAGAUUGAAAUACAAAAGACAGAGAAAUCAAAGAGGGAUUUUUUCUAAGGUGGUUCUUUUCCGUUUUUCUUUCUGUAUUCUCUUCUUACUUUUUUCUUUUUUGGGUCACAUACAUAUAGAGAUAAUAAAAAGAGGCUUAAGGAGGAGAGUUUACCUUCAUAGUGCGACGGUCGGAUCCCUAUCUCUCUCGUCGCAAUCGGAGCAGAUGGGGAUCUGAAGGGUGGAGCUGCGACAGAAACUGAAAAACCAAGCGGCGCUCUGCCUUCCUCCUACCAUUUCAAAUGAAAACCUUUAGAUUUAGGGUUUCUUUUUUAAGUUUUUAAACGUUUUCAAAAACGGCAGCGUUUGGUGCCUAGACCCGAUGACCCGACCCGAUUCAAGAAGGAGGAUCCGCGUGCUUUAUACUGAUGGUUUAUUUGCGCAAUGAGUCCUCCUGUUCUCUCAAUUUGUUUUGAUCUAAUCCCUUUCAGUUCUUUUAAUUUUGGCCAUAUAGGUUUAUUUUGUUUUCA
This 1757-nucleotide long non-coding RNA is filed under the name Gossypium barbadense (sea-island cotton). Its description in RNAcentral is "long non-coding RNA (GBAR_LNC019645)". Lineage: Eukaryota; Viridiplantae; Streptophyta; Magnoliopsida; Malvales; Malvaceae. The record is from RNAcentral.